This 206-nucleotide ribosomal RNA is filed under the name uncultured bacterium. Its description in RNAcentral is "partial 16S ribosomal RNA". It matches the Rfam family "Bacterial small subunit ribosomal RNA", at positions 568 to 774 of the family's 1533-position model. The record is from RNAcentral.
UGCGUAGGCGGUCAUCUAAGUCACGUGUGAAAUCUUCUGGCUCAACCAGAAAACUGCGCGUGAAACUAGUUGACUUGAGUGAGGUAGGGGUGUGUGGAACUUCCGGCGGAGCGGUGAAAUGUGUAGAGAUCGGAAGGAACGCCAGCAGCGAAAGCGGCACACUGGGCCUUUUCUGACGCUGAGGCACGAAAGCUAGGGGAUGAACG